UACGUAGGGGGCUAGCGUUGUCCGGAAUCAUUGGGCGUAAAGAGCGCGUAGGCGGCCAGAUAAGUCCGGUGUGAAAGUCACAGGCUCAACCUGUGAAUGCCGCUGGAAACUGUCUGGCUAGAGUCCGGGAGGGGCGAGUGGAAUUCCUGGUGUAGCGGUGAAAUGCGCAGAUAUCAGGAGGAACACCAAUGGCGAAGGCAGCUCGCUGGAACGGUACUGACGCUGAGGUGCGAAAGCGUGGGGAGCAAACAGG
This 253-nucleotide ribosomal RNA is filed under the name uncultured bacterium. RNAcentral's name for it is "partial 16S ribosomal RNA". It matches the Rfam family "Bacterial small subunit ribosomal RNA", at positions 524 to 776 of the family's 1533-position model. The record is from RNAcentral.